UCCGUAGGUGAACCUGCGGAGGGAUCAUUACAAGUGACCCCGGUCUAACCACCGGGAUGUUCAUAACCCUUUGUUGUCCGACUCUGUUGCCUCCGGGGCGACCCUGCCUUCGGGCGGGGGCUCCGGGUGGACACUUCAAACUCUUGCGUAACUUUGCAGUCUGAGUAAACUUAAUUAAUAAAUUAAAACUUUUAACAACGGAUCUCUUGGUUCUGGCAUCGAUGAAGAACGCAGCGAAAUGCGAUAAGUAAUGUGAAUUGCAGAAUUCAGUGAAUCAUCGAAUCUUUGAACGCACAUUGCGCCCCCUGGUAUUCCGGGGGGCAUGCCUGUUCGAGCGUCAUUUCACCACUCAAGCCUCGCUUGGUAUUGGGCAACGCGGUCCGCCGCGUGCCUCAAAUCGACCGGCUGGGUCUUCUGUCCCCUAAGCGUUGUGGAAACUAUUCGCUAAAGGGUGUUCGGGAGGCUACGCCGUAAAACAACCCCAUUUCUAAGGUUGACCUCGGAUCAGGUAGGGAUACCCGCUGAACUUAAGCAUAUCAAUAAGCGGAG
Molecule: ribosomal RNA, 549 nt
Filed under: Cladosporium cladosporioides
Lineage: Eukaryota; Fungi; Ascomycota; Dothideomycetes; Cladosporiales; Cladosporiaceae
Description: eukaryotic LSU rRNA
Rfam family: 5.8S ribosomal RNA (bases 187-340)
Source: RNAcentral